RNAcentral lists this ribosomal RNA (520 nucleotides) under uncultured Glomus. Its description in RNAcentral is "SSU rRNA". It matches the Rfam family "Eukaryotic small subunit ribosomal RNA", at positions 569 to 1092 of the family's 1831-position model. The record is from RNAcentral. Lineage: Eukaryota; Fungi; Glomeromycota; Glomeromycetes; Glomerales; Glomeraceae.
AGCAGCCGCGGUAAUUCCAGCUCCAAUAGCGUAUAUUAAAGUUGUUGCAGUUAAAAAGCUCGUAGUUGGAUUUCGGGAUCAAUAUGUUGGUCGUGCCUUGGUACGUACUGGCAUUAUCGAUUCCUACCUUCUGAAGAAUCUCGAUGUCAUUAAUUUGGUGUCUUGGGGAAUCAGGACUGUUACUUUGAAAAAAUUAGAGUGUUUAAAGCAGGCUCGCGCUUGAAUACAUUAGCAUGGAAUAAUGAAAUAGGACGUUUGAUUCUAUUUUGUUGGUUCUAGGAUUGACGUAAUGAUUAAUAGGGAUAGUUGGGGGCAUUAGUAUUCAAUUGUCAGAGGUGAAAUUCUUGGAUUUAUUGAAGACUAACUACUGCGAAAGCAUUUGCCAAGGAUGUUUUCAUUAAUCAAGAACGAAAGUUAGGGGAUCGAAGACGAUCAGAUACCGUCGUAGUCUUAACCAUAAACUAUGCCGACUAGGAAUCAGACGAUGUUAAUUUUUUAAUGACUCGUUUGGCACCUUACG